GUGGAGGACUACCUGCAGGCCUGUCGAGCUACCCUGCACACCAUCAUACUGGAUUGUGUCAACAUGGACCUUAAAAUUGGAAAGGCAACCCUUAAAGACAGCAAUAUGUGGAGAAGCUAGAGGUCCUCUUCCCAGAUCUACCCAAGAGAAAUGAUAUCUUUGAUUCCCUACAAAAGGCAAAGUUCAAGGUAUCAGGACUGACUACUGAGCAGAUGCUGAGAAAGGACCAGAAGACCUUUUAUAGACAAGGCAUCAAGGUGGCCAUUCAUGCAAUCUAUAUGGAUUUGUCUGUGGAGUCCUGGAACGCUCCCACUCUCCGUCCCUGAAGCUGACUCCUGACCUAAGCACCUCUCUAACCUCCAAGCCCAUCUUCAAGGCAACACCCAGAUCUCUUGAAAGAAAUUUCUGCCUCUGCUCCAGGAAGCCCUGUCAGCAUAUUUUGACUCCAGAUCCCUUUAGGACAGCCUGAGACAGUGGGUGUGUCCAGGGAGCAGGUGGACAAGGAAUUGGACAGGGCAAGUAACUCCCUGAUUCCUGGACUGAGUCCAGAUGAGGAGGACCCUCUGCUGCCCCCCACGUCCAUGAACAGCCUGGUGGAUGAGUGCUCUCUGGAACAGGGCUGCCUAAACUCUCUGCUGAGGCCAUCCUUGAGAAGUGCAGUGAGAUCUCACUGUCACAGUCUACCACUGCCUCCCUGUCCAAGAA
Molecule: long non-coding RNA, 705 nt
Filed under: Homo sapiens (human)
Lineage: Eukaryota; Metazoa; Chordata; Mammalia; Primates; Hominidae
Description: non-protein coding lnc-RNF6-3:1
Source: RNAcentral